This is a non-coding RNA of Camelina sativa (false flax), 2206 nucleotides long. NCBI's taxonomy places the organism in Eukaryota, Viridiplantae, Streptophyta, Magnoliopsida, Brassicales, Brassicaceae. The record is from RefSeq and is a predicted model, not a curated record.
GAACGUGUCGCGUAUCGGUUGGAAGCUCGAUAGUUUUUUUUUCUUCACCUUCUCUCUCCGAUUUUGCAAUCGCAAAAGAGCCGUCUCGCAAUCGAACGGAAACGGGAGGUGAUUGAAUCAAUUGGGAAAACUCGGUUUAGUUUGAAGCCUCUUCCUUUAUCAUUCCCCAAAUUUUUUUUUUGCUCGUUAUAGUUUUGUUUCAGUCUAUCGUCUUGGUUUCAAUAAUACUCAGGUGUGGCUUCUGAUGGCUGUGUUUCAGAGAUUGCAUAUGAUGAGCUAGUGAAAUUGAUGGGUGGAGGAGAGCUACACUCAAGGGUUAUGGUUGAUGCUUUUAUGGAUGAGGGUGAUGUCUCAAGGAGACAAGGACACGCUUGGAUUCUUCAUUGUGCUAAGUUUUUGUUCUUGCUCUUAACUCUUCUUUUUACUCUCUGUUUUUCCUAAUUACAUGUGAUUUAAUUGUUGUUUUUUUCUUCUUUUUUUUGGUUUAGGUUAGGUGUGUGGAGAAGGAUCCUAUAAUGGCUCAAUGAGGGCUUUGACUGAUCGUUGUCACUGCAUACUCUUCUCUUGGACAUAUUUGUUUAGUUCCGUUUUGCAGAUAUUCUCUAUGACUUCUGGUCUCCCGCAAUGACAGUGAGUUCAGUCUGCAUCAGCAUUCUCUCUAUGCUAUCGAGUUCACCCGAAAAGCCCGGAUGAUAAUGAUCGAUACGUGAAGAACUGCAAGAACGGGAGAUCUCCUAAAGAGACAAGUUGGUGGUUCCAUGACGACAAGGUUUGAUGAUGAUGACCUACAAGAUGUCUACUAAAGAGGUUUAUAUAAUUUCCCAAGACCAAUAAUACUAUUUUCUAAGAGCUUUUGUUCAAGCUUUGCAAGAAGAGGAGUUGCAAAAACAUGUAGAUAUCCCUAUUGCGUCUUCAUCAAAUAUCGACGUUCUAAGUACAGCUGUCGUCAAACAAGUCAAACUCGUCCUGCCCACAGCAGAUUUAAAUCACGUGUCCACGCGAGUAUAUUAUGUAGAAAACAGAGCCUAUGCCAACACUCACACCCUUCUGAUCGCUUGUUCCUUCUUGAUCAGAACCUAGUUACUGAUGGCAAUAUUAAGGAUGUGGGAAGCUUAUCACCGAUAACACCCUCUUCUUCUGCUCCAUCCAUGUCUACUACUGUAGCCGUUGGUUACGAAAUCUACCAAAUGGGCGGAAUCAUCAACAACCAGCCGUCCUCGGCCGUUCACGUGUUUGACUGUCGUACUCAUACGUGGCGUGAUGCUCCUAACAUGACGGUGGCAAGGAAACGCGCCAACUCUGCUUUUAUGGACGGCAAGAUAUAUGUCAUCGGAGGAACAGUUGAGACAUCAUCCUCCAUGACUUGGGCUGAGGUUUUUGACCUAAGUACUCAGACUUGGAAGCCUGUGCCUAGCCCUACUAAUGAUUACGCUCGUAAAGUUGGGAUUCGUAGACGAAAAUUAUAUGUUAAAAGUGAGCAUAAAAGUAUGUAUAUGAUUCAAAAGAUGGGAGAUGGAAGGAGCUUUUAAAGUUGGGUUUAAGUGGAGAAUAUAAGUUUGGACCUUGUUGCGUUAUAGAAGAUAUAAAGAUUAGUGUACAUCAUGACGGUAAGGUCGGUUGGUAUGACUCACAGCGUAGAAAAUGGUCCAUGGUUAAGGGUUUGCAAGAUCAUCGUUUUGGCUAUCCUACCAUUCGGUUAGCUAACUAUGGUGGGAAACUCAUAAUUCUAUGGGACUACCGCCCACCGCCACGGUUCCGGUACGUUCCAGUGGAGAGGAACAAGCGCUGUUUUCCCUGCACAGGAAGGAGUACUUUUCGCUACCAAAAAUUGAUUACUUUUCCCUACUAUGUUCGCUGUGUGGUGAUAAGGUUGGAGAAGCGCAUUGGCUUUUCUGGACUACAAAUUUGGGGGAAGGUUGAACGGUCAAAUGUUGUGCUUAGAGUCCCCGAUUCAUUUAAUUUCUUCAGCUGUAUCAUCCUUUGAAAAAAGGAUAAAGAGUCUCACCUCAACUUGGAUUCGAGUACAGAAGAAAACUUCUCAUGAAAAUUCAAGCUUGUUUCUCUUCUUAAGAAUGGGGUUCGAGCUUGGCUUCUGUGAUGUGAUGCCACUUUAAAUGUUACUAGCUAGCUUCACAUGUCUUAUGUUAUCUUGAGACUUUGUUUGCCAAUGAUUAAGAAUUUGCCUAUCUAAUCUUUUUUAACAUUA